RNAcentral lists this ribosomal RNA (608 nucleotides) under Rhodoferax sp. Fon05. RNAcentral's name for it is "bacterial SSU rRNA". It matches the Rfam family "Bacterial small subunit ribosomal RNA", at positions 61 to 665 of the family's 1533-position model. Lineage: Bacteria; Pseudomonadati; Pseudomonadota; Betaproteobacteria; Burkholderiales; Comamonadaceae. The record is from RNAcentral.
CUCUGACGGCAGCACGGGAAGCAUCCUGGUGGCGAGUGGCGAACGGGUGAGUAAUAUAUCGGAACGUGCCCAGUCGUGGGGGAUAACGCAGCGAAAGCUGUGCUAAUACCGCAUACGAUCUACGGAUGAAAGCGGGGGAUCGCAAGACCUCGCGCGAUUGGAGCGGCCGAUAUCAGAUUAGCUAGUUGGUGGGGUAAAAGCCCACCAAGGCGACGAUCUGUAGCUGGUCUGAGAGGACGACCAGCCACACUGGAACUGAGACACGGUCCAGACUCCUACGGGAGGCAGCAGUGGGGAAUUUUGGACAAUGGGCGCAAGCCUGAUCCAGCAAUGCCGCGUGCAGGAUGAAGGCCUUCGGGUUGUAAACUGCUUUUGUACGGAACGAAACGGCUCCUUCUAAUACAAGGGGCUAAUGACGGUACCGUAAGAAUAAGCACCGGCUAACUACGUGCCAGCAGCCGCGGUAAUACGUAGGGUGCGAGCGUUAAUCGGAAUUACUGGGCGUAAAGCGUGCGCAGGCGGUUAUAUAAGACAGAUGUGAAAUCCCCGGGCUCACCUGGGACCUGCAUUUGUGACUGUAUAGCUAGAGUACGGUAGAGGGGGAUGGA